CAUCCAUCCAGGAGACUACACAGAAACAGAGAGGACUAUGUGGAAAGAAGUGCUGAGUUUGCAGAUGGUUUGCUCUCAAAAGCUUUGAAAGACAUUCAGUCUGGAGCACUGGACAUAAAUAAAGCAGGCAUACUUUAUGGCAUACCUCAAAAAACUUUACUUCUUCACUUAGAAGCCUUACCAGCAGGGAAGCCUGCAUCUUUUAAAAACAAAACUCGAGAUUUCCAUGAUAGUUAUUCAUAUAAGGACAGUAAAGAAACUUGUGCAGUGCUGCAAAAAGUAGCCUUGUGGGCAAGAGCUCAAGCAGAGCGCACAGAAAAAAGUAAACUCAAUCUACUUGAAACCUCAGAAAUAAAAUUCCCAACAGCUUCCACUUACCUCCAUCAGCUAACUCUACAGAAAAUGGUCACUCAGUUUAAAGAAAAAAAUGAAAGCCUCCAAUAUGAAACUUCAAAUCCUACUGUACAGUUAAAAAUUCCUCAGCUACGAGUAAGUUCUGUCUCAAAAUCACAACCUGAUGGUUCUGGUCUGUUGGAUGUUAUGUAUCAAGUUUCCAAAACCUCUUCAGUCCUAGAAGGAUCAGCUCUCCAAAAACUGAAAAAUAUACUCCCUAAACAGAACAAAAUAGAAUGUUCUGGGCCU
This 642-nucleotide long non-coding RNA is filed under the name Homo sapiens (human). RNAcentral's name for it is "non-protein coding lnc-DCAF16-2:1". The record is from RNAcentral. Lineage: Eukaryota; Metazoa; Chordata; Mammalia; Primates; Hominidae.